GGGGCGCCUCACCCUGCCUUCCCCAUGGACAGUCCAGCAAUGUCUGCUUCCACUCCCCCUGUGUUUCCAGACCCAGAGAGUGAAGCAAAGCCAGAAUCAACCACCACACUAGAUAAAUAGCCAUUACUGUGACGAUGGAAUGCUGUCAGUGAGCAGCAUGGAAGAUGCAGAGAGAGUGGCGGUCAGGUGGUGGUGGAGACAGGGAGAGUAUGUGGCCUGGAGAUUAACAAACAGAACACCAAUAAUCUUGUGACCUCCAUGCACCCUUCCUAAUGUCAAUAAAGUUGUCUUAUCAUGCCCAAAA
RNAcentral lists this long non-coding RNA (304 nucleotides) under Portunus trituberculatus (swimming crab). RNAcentral's name for it is "uncharacterized LOC123502430". The record is from RNAcentral. Lineage: Eukaryota; Metazoa; Arthropoda; Malacostraca; Decapoda; Portunidae.